GGCCCAACACGCUGUCCAUCCCCUCUAGGUCUGGCCCAAAACGUUUUCCCUCCGCUCUAGGUCUGGCCCAACACGCUGUCCCUCCGCUCUAGGUCUGGCCCAACACACUGUCCCUCCGCUCUAGGUCUGGCCCAACACACUGUCCCUCCGCUCUAGGUCUGGCCCAACACACUGUCCCUCCCCUCUAGGUCUGGCCCAACACACUGUCCCUCCCCUCUAGGUCUGGCCCAACACACUGUCCCUCCGCUCUAGGUCUGGCCCAACACACUGUCCCUCCGCUCUAGGUCUGGCCCAACACACUGUCCCUCCCCUCUAGGUCUGGCCCAACACACUGUCCCUCCCCUCUAGGUCUGGCCCAAGACGCUGUCCCUCCCCUCUAGGUCUGGCCCAACACGCUGUCCCUCCGCUCUAGGUCUGGCACAACACGCUGUCCCUCCGCUCUAGGUCUGGCCCAACACACUGUCCCUCCCCUCUCGGUCUGGCCCAACACACUGUCCCUCCCCUCUACGUCUGGCCCAACACGCUGUCCCUCCGCUCUCGGUCUGGCCCAACACACUGUCCCUCCCCUCAAGGUCUGGCCCAACACACUGUCCCUCCCCUCAAGGUCUGGCCCAACACGCUGUCCCUCCGCUCUACGUCUGGCCCAACACGCUGUCCCUCCGCUCUAGGUCUGGCCCAACACACUGUCCCUCCCCUCUAGGUCUGGCCCAACACGCUGUCCCUCCGCUCUAGGUCUGGCCCAACACGCUGUCCCUCCCCUCUACGUCUGGCCCAACACGCUGUCCCUCCGCUCUAGGUCUAGCCCAACACACUGUCCCUCCCCUCUAGGUCUGGCCCAACACGCUGUCCCUCCCCUCUAGGUCUGGCCCAACACGCUGUCCCUCCCCUCUAGGUCUGGCCCAACACGCUGUCCCUCCCCUCUACGUCUGACCCAACACGCUGUCCCUCCACUCUAGGUCUGGGGAUGUUGUGUAAAUAAAAUUAUAGUAAAUAAAAUUGGUAGCUAAUCUAAUGAGUAGCAACAUGAUAGAGCUAGCUCAGUUUGGACUCCGACCAAAGUAAAGGGACUAUACAGGAGUAUGUUUUGACAGGCUGUAAAAGGGGUUUCGACGUGCUGGUUUACACACAGUUGUAUUAUUUUGUCAUUUUCUCAAGUGUUUAAAACACACCACAACCCACACACAUUGCUUCCCACACAGUUCAUUCCUUAUGCUCACACAGUGUAGUUUAAACCAGAACGAACACAAGAACAGAAUAGAUCUUCAGUCUUUUACAAAUCCACUUCCUACAUACAUCUGCCCUACUCCCUCCUUUGGGCUUCUUUUUAAUACAUUUUAUUUUCAAUAGUUCAUUGCAACUAUUGAUCUUUGACAUGUGGUUAUUUUUGAGUCAACUACAGAAACCCUGUUAACUCUGAGCAUGAACGAGAGGGGAUGUGUGCAUGUUCGUGUUAAGUAUUCUAAACCGGUGCACAACAGAAGUUUUUCCUGACCACAUGACCUUGCAGGAAAAUUAGCCCUGAAUACAGGUUAUUAGUAGUAGAAUAGUGAAACUACUACAGUAUUUUCUCUCUGUUGUACAGCUCCCUUCCUGCAGGCUUCUCUCAAGUACAGAGAGAAUGAGAAGACAUGUUGAGGAGAGGGAGAGAGACGGUGAAGAAAGAGAGAGGGGUACAAUGUUAAUUCCAGGGGAGCAGAGAUUGGCGGUAGUGUAGAGCGGAGGAUAAAACUGAGAGCUGUCACGACACAGAGACACAGCGCUAGAAGAAGACAGGAACACGUCGGCCUGGAGAUGGGGAGAGUGGGCGGCUGUGGGCGACACAGAUCCACACUCCAAACAAGCUUAACGGGAAUGGAAAAACAUGAACUGUGCAGCACAUGAAAGCCUGAUAUGUAGAAUUCACAGGUGCAGCAUAUCAUUUAAUAGUGAGAGAACAGGGAUAAAUUAUAUUACAGUAAUUUAGUAGAUUCUCAUAUCCAGAGCGACUUACAGUAGUGAGUAAGUACAUUUUGGUAAUGGUCCCCCAUGGGAAUAGAACCCAAACCCUGACGUUGAAAGCGCCAUGCUCUAACAACUGAGCCACACGGGACCAUUGCCAUGUGAGGAAAAGGAAACGGGACCAUGUGAACAAAGGAAAGUGCACAAUGAGUUUGUGUUUGAUUAAAGUCACACCCACAUGAUCUAAGUUUACCUCAUGCAGUACAGGAAACGAUAUGUUCAGAUACACGUGUACAGACGCUCCUACAGAAUGUGCGCUCUGAACAUCCACAUCAGACAACUGUUUCUCAGCAGGUUUCUAAUUCUUUCCAAUUAAAACCUAAUCAAGACAAACAAUUAGGAAGUAAGUCGAUAAAGAAAUCAAUUGAAGAAAUAUGAAGAUACAAACUUGACACAGGCCAAUACAUCUUUGACACUAGUGGUGUUGGAAAUAAUGACACCCAGAUGAGUGGCCGAACACAAAGUUAUACAGACAGACUGACCGUCAGUCAGGUAAAUAGCCGAACACCGGCAGAGACAGAUAUAAAAAAAAGGACAGACAGAGGUCAGAAGAUGUGUCCAGUCCAAGUCUCUGAAGUGGGACAGACAGCAGCUGACAUCACAAACACACACCCAGCAUGUCCACCUCACCCUGUCCAUGCAGGAGCUGUACGUAAAAUGAUUUUGUGUGGCAAUUUAAUCUAUGAUCAAUUGUGUGCAGAUCACCACUUUAACGCAGAAGAUUUAUGCCAAGUGGUUUUAUUAUUUUAUUGCCAAAUGAGGAAAUAGCCUGGGUACAGACUAUUGAAGACUACUGAAGUGUGAAGUGUUGGUGAGCUGAGACUGUUCCCUCAGGUGCUGGACAUCAUCUUUUAAAUCAUAAAUGUCUUCUGUAAUCGCCUGAGUGUCCAGCACAAUGUUUCUGGUGACUUGCGGGUAAAACCAGGCAGAGGGAAGGCUUGUCUCAUUUCUGUUCUAAUUCUCUGCACACCCCCUAGCCAAAGGGCACCUUAUUUCCGUACCCCCUUAUUGUUCUUAUUUGCCUGACCUUCGGCAUAGCAAGGUGCCUGAGAGCUAGGACUGUGCCAAGGGCUAACAUAUUGUGUGUUGUCUCUUCAUGUGCAGGGCAAAUAAAAAUAAUUCAACUAGCAGACCUCCAGUUGUGGCAGCGUCCUAAUUAAAAGUACACAACGCAGAACGAACAACGCUACAUGUGCUUCAGGGAAAAUACAAUCUGCAAUUUAAGUACUGAUACUACACUGCUCAAAAAAAUAAAGGGAACACUUAAACAACACAAUGUAACUCCAAGUCAAUCACACUUCUGUGAAAUCAAACUGUCCACUUAGGAAGCAACACUGAUUGACAAUAAAUUCCACAUGUUGUUGUGCAAAUGGGAAUAGACAACAGGUGGAAAUUAUAGGCAUUUAGCAAGACACCCCCAAUAAAGGAGUGGUUCUGCAGGUGGUAACCACAGACCACUUCUCAGUUCCUAUGCUUCCUGGCUGAUGUUUUGGUCACUUUUGAAUGCUGGCGGUGCUUUCACUCUAGUGGUAGCAUGAGACGGAGUCUACAACCCACACAAGUGGCUCAGGUAGUGCAGCUCAUCCAGGAUGACACAUCAAUGCGAGCUGUGGCAAGAAGGUUUGCUGUGUCUGUCAGCAUAGUGUCCAGAGCAUGGAGACGCUACCAGGAGACAGGCCAGUACAUCAGGAGACGUGGAGGAGGCCGUAGGAGGGCAACAACCCAGCAGCAGGACCGCUACCUCCGCCUUUCUGCAAGGAGGAGCAGGAGCAGCACUGCCAGAGCCCUGCAAAAUGACCUCCAGCAGGCCACAAAUGUGCAUGUGUCUGCUCAAACGGUCAGAAACAGCCUCCAUGAGGGUGGUAUGAGGGCCCGACAUCCACAGGUGGGUGUUGUGCUUACAGCCCAACACCGUGCAGGACGUUUGGCAUUUGCCAGAGAACACCAAGAUUGGCAAAUUCGCCACUGGCGCCCUGUGCUCUUCACAGAUGAAAGCAGGUUCACACUGAGCACAUGUGACAGACGUGACAGAGUCUAGAGACGCCAUGGAGAACGUUCUGCUGCCUGCAACAUCCUCCAGCAUGACCGGUUUGGCGGUGGGUCAGUCAUGGUGUGGGGUGGCAUUUCUUUGGGGGGCCGCACAGCCUUCCAUGUCAGAGGUAGCCUGACUGCCAUUAGGUACCGAGAUGAGAUCCUCAGACCCCUUGUGAGACCAUAUGCUGGUGCGGUUGGCCCUGGGUUCCUCCUAAUGCAAGACAAUGCUCGACCUCAUGUGGCUGGAGUGUGUCAGCAGUUCCUGCAAGAGGAAGGCGUUGAUGCUAUGGACUGGCCCGCCCGUUCCCCAGACCUAAAUCCAAUUGAGCACAUCUGGGACAUCAUGUCUCGCUCCAUCCACCAACGCCACGUUGCACCACAGACUGUCCAGGAGUUGGUGGAUGCUUUAGUUCAGGUCUGGGAGGAGAUCCCUCAGGAGACCAUCCGCCACCUCAUCAGGAGCAUGCCCAGGCGUUGUAGGGAGGCC
Molecule: long non-coding RNA, 4519 nt
Organism: Oncorhynchus keta (chum salmon)
Lineage: Eukaryota; Metazoa; Chordata; Actinopteri; Salmoniformes; Salmonidae
Exons: 4
Source: RefSeq, a predicted model, not a curated record